GACGGGGGGGGCAAGUGUUCUUCGGAAUGACUGGGCGUAAAGGGCACGUAGGCGGUGAAUCGGGUUGAAAGUGAAAGUCGCCAAAAAGCGGCGGAAUGCUCUCGAAACCAAUUCACUUGAGUGAGACAGAGGAGAGUGGAAUUCCCAGUGUAGCGGUGAAAUGCGUAGAUAUUGGGAGGAACACCAGUGGCGAAGGCGGCUCACUGGACCGGUACUGACGCUGAUGCGCGAAAGCGUGGGGAGCAAACGGG
RNAcentral lists this ribosomal RNA (251 nucleotides) under uncultured bacterium. RNAcentral's name for it is "partial 16S ribosomal RNA". It matches the Rfam family "Bacterial small subunit ribosomal RNA", at positions 524 to 776 of the family's 1533-position model. The record is from RNAcentral.